Molecule: long non-coding RNA, 314 nt
Filed under: Gossypium barbadense (sea-island cotton)
Lineage: Eukaryota; Viridiplantae; Streptophyta; Magnoliopsida; Malvales; Malvaceae
Description: long non-coding RNA (GBAR_LNC019327)
Source: RNAcentral
AACGAUAUUAAUUAUUUGAAUUAAUCAAUGACAUUAUAAAAAUAAAUAGAUCAAAUUAUACUAAAUUAAAGUACAAUGAUUAAACCUGUAAUUUAAUCAUAGUAGUUGGACAAAACCCCAAAAUUUGACGUGAUUGUAUCAUAGAAACAAGAGUAUCACGUUGACUCAGCAGCAGUAAUCAGUGGCCAGGCUUACCUCUGCUGGAUUCCUUUGGCCUUUGGAACUUCCGUGUCUCUUUGAAACACCUUGCUGGUGUAAAUGGCAUGAAUAAAACUCAAAAGCCUUCCACACCACACCUGCAUGCUGCACCUUAU